AACGAACGCUGGCGGCAUGCCUAACACAUGCAAGUCGAACGAGACCUUCGGGUCUAGUGGCGCACGGGUGCGUAACGCGUGGGAACCUGCCCUUAGGUUCGGAAUAACUCCCCGAAAGGGGUGCUAAUACCGGAUAAUGUCUUCGGACCAAAGAUUUAUCGCCUUUGGAUGGGCCCGCGUUGGAUUAGCUAGUUGGUAGGGUAAAAGCCUACCAAGGCGACAAUCCAUAGCUGGUCUGAGAGGAUGAUCAGCCACACUGGGACUGAGACACGGCCCAGACUCCUACGGGAGGCAGCAGAGGGGAAUAUAGGACAGUGGGCGAAAGCCUGAUCCAGCAAUGCCGGGUGAGUGAUGAAGGCCUUAGGGUUGUAAAGCUCGUUUACCCGGGAUGAUAAUGACAGUACCGGGAGAAUAAGCUCCGGCUAACUCCGUG
This 433-nucleotide ribosomal RNA is filed under the name uncultured bacterium. RNAcentral's name for it is "partial 16S ribosomal RNA". It matches the Rfam family "Bacterial small subunit ribosomal RNA", at positions 29 to 507 of the family's 1533-position model. The record is from RNAcentral.